CUCCUGGAAACGGGUGGUAAUGCCGGAUGUUCCAGUUGAUCGCAUGGUCUUCUGGGAAAGCUUUCGCGGUAUGGGAUGGGGUCGCGUCCUAUCAGCUUGACGGCGGGGUAACGGCCCACCGUGGCUUCGACGGGUAGCCGGCCUGAGAGGGUGACCGGCCACAUUGGGACUGAGAUACGGCCCAGACUCCUACGGGAGGCAGCAGUGGGGAAUAUUGCACAAUGGGCGCAAGCCUGAUGCAGCGACGCCGCGUGAGGGAUGGAGGCCUUCGGGUUGUAAACCUCUUUUAUCGGGGAGCAAGCGUGAGUGAGUUUACCCGUUGAAUAAGCACCGGCUAACUACGUGCCAGCAGCCGCGGUAAUACGUAGGGUGCAAGCGUUAUCCGGAAUUAUUGGGCGUAAAGGGCUCGUAGGCGGUUCGUCGCGUCCGGUGUGAAAGUCCAUCGCUUAACGGUGGAUCCGCGCCGGGUACGGGCGGGCUUGAGUGCGGUAGGGGAGGCUGGAAUUCCCGGUGUAACGGUGGAAUGUGUAGAUAUCGGGAAGAACACC
Molecule: ribosomal RNA, 548 nt
Filed under: uncultured Bifidobacterium sp.
Lineage: Bacteria; Bacillati; Actinomycetota; Actinomycetes; Bifidobacteriales; Bifidobacteriaceae
Description: bacterial SSU rRNA
Rfam family: Bacterial small subunit ribosomal RNA
Source: RNAcentral